This 567-nucleotide ribosomal RNA is filed under the name uncultured bacterium. RNAcentral's name for it is "partial 16S ribosomal RNA". It matches the Rfam family "Bacterial small subunit ribosomal RNA", at positions 355 to 914 of the family's 1533-position model. The record is from RNAcentral.
UGGGGAAUUUUGGACAAUGGGCGAAAGCCUGAUCCAGCAAUGCCGCGUGUGUGAAGAAGGCCUUCGGGUUGUAAAGCACUUUUGUCCGGAAAGAAAUCCUCUGGGUUAAUACCUCGGGGGGAUGACGGUACCGGAAGAAUAAGCACCGGCUAACUACGUGCCAGCAGCCGCGGUAAUACGUAGGGUGCAAGCGUUAAUCGGAAUUACUGGGCGUAAAGCGUGCGCAGGCGGUUUUGUAAGACGGAUGUGAAAUCCCCGGGCUUAACCUGGGAACUGCAUUCGUGACUGCAAGGCUAGAGUAUGGCAGAGGGGGGUUAGAAUUCCACGUGUAGCAGUGAAAUGCGUAGAGAUGUGGAGGAAUACCGAUGGCGAAGGCAGCCCCCUGGGCCAAUACUGACGCUCAUGCACGAAAGCGUGGGGAGCAAACAGGAUUAGAUACCCUGGUAGUCCACGCCCUAAACGAUGUCAACUAGUUGUUGGGGAUUCAUUUCCUUAGUAACGUAGCUAACGCGUGAAGUUGACCGCCUGGGGAGUACGGUCGCAAGAUUAAAACUUAAAUGAAUUGAC